CUAGUUAAUUGAAUCUGCUUUUUACAGAAUCAUAAAGGAGCAGCAGAACACGGGGUGGGGUGGAGGAAGGUGGUCUUAACGUAACGUGACUUUCACUGGUCUCCGGACCUCUCUGGACCAUGUUGUAUUGUUUAUUUCACACUUUCCAUACGAAAAGGUUAGAAUAUUUUUUACGGUCUUGUUCUGAUAGGUGAAAUGUCUCUAUUGUAAACGUACAACCCAGUUGUCAAGAAAAAUUGAUCAUAUAAAUUCAUCUAAUAAGUCACGAGGUACAAGUUCAAGUGUUUAUGAAAUAUGAUUUGAUGCCUAAUAUGUCAGUUACUGUUAACCAAAUAUUACAAUGAUGCCU
RNAcentral lists this long non-coding RNA (349 nucleotides) under Bos taurus (domestic cattle). Its description in RNAcentral is "long non-coding RNA NONBTAT010979". The record is from RNAcentral. Lineage: Eukaryota; Metazoa; Chordata; Mammalia; Artiodactyla; Bovidae.